Molecule: ribosomal RNA, 253 nt
Filed under: uncultured bacterium
Lineage: Bacteria
Description: partial 16S ribosomal RNA
Rfam family: Bacterial small subunit ribosomal RNA
Source: RNAcentral
UACGGAGGGGACUAGCGUUGUUCAGAAUUACUGGGCGUAAAGCGCACGUAGGCGGAUCGGAAAGUUGGGGGUGAAAUCCCGGGGCUCAACCCCGGAACUGCCUUCAAAACUAUCGGACUGGAGUUCGAGAGAGGUGAGUGGAAUUCCGAGUGUAGAGGUGAAAUUCGUAGAUAUUCGGAGGAACACCAGUGGCGAAGGCGGCUCACUGGCUCGAUACUGACGCUGAGGUGCGAAAGCGUGGGGAGCAAACAGG